UGUGUUGAUGAUAGUGUUGUUUGUUUCAGGAUACACACUGGGGGAGAGCUUCUUCGGGCUGACUCCUUAACUGGUGAUGCUUUGUUGAAGCAACUUUGGCACCAUUCAGAUGCGAUCAUGUGCUGUUCCUUAAAAACAAAUGUAAUCCAUUUGACUAAUCACUUCAUGAUAAUUUUUCGAGAUAAAAAUAUGGGAUAUUCAAUAUUGUGCUAGAGACUGUUUAAGCAAAGCUAAACAUGAUUUGAAAAAUAUGUUGCAGGCAUCUCCUGUUUUCACCUUUGCAAAUCAGGCAGGAUUGGACAUGCUGGAAACUACCCUUGUGGCCCUUCAGGACAUCAUGCUUGACAAGAUUCUUGACGAGGCUGGAAGGAAGAUUCUCUGCACUGAGUUUGCUAAGAUCAUGCAACAGGUAAAGUUUUCAAUAUCUGGAGCCAACACUCAGUUCUAAGCAGAUCCAAA
Molecule: long non-coding RNA, 459 nt
Filed under: Citrus maxima (pomelo)
Lineage: Eukaryota; Viridiplantae; Streptophyta; Magnoliopsida; Sapindales; Rutaceae
Description: long non-coding RNA (CMAX_LNC001058)
Source: RNAcentral